GGAAGCGUCGCAUAGUGGCCAAUUGCACAGGAUUGCUAAUCCUGACCGGUUUUCCGGUUCGCGGGUUCGAAUCCCGCCGCUUCCGCCA
This 88-nucleotide transfer RNA is filed under the name Candidatus Pacebacteria bacterium CG10_big_fil_rev_8_21_14_0_10_56_10. RNAcentral describes it as "tRNA-Ser". It matches the Rfam family "tRNA". Rfam says of the family: Transfer RNA (tRNA) molecules are approximately 80 nucleotides in length. Their secondary structure includes four short double-helical elements and three loops (D, anti-codon, and T loops). Further hydrogen bonds mediate the characteristic L-shaped molecular structure. tRNAs have two regions of fundamental functional importance: the anti-codon, which is responsible for specific mRNA codon recognition, and the 3' end, to which the tRNAs corresponding amino acid is attached (by aminoacyl-tRNA synthetases). tRNAs cope with the degeneracy of the genetic code in two manners: having more than one tRNA (with a specific anti-codon) for a particular amino acid; and 'wobble' base-pairing, i.e. permitting non-standard base-pairing at the 3rd anti-codon position. The record is from RNAcentral. Lineage: Bacteria; Bacillati; Minisyncoccota.